AGAGUUUGAUCCUGGCUCAGGAUGAACGCUGGCGGUCUGCUUAACACAUGCAAGUCGAACGGGAUCCUUCGGGGAUUUAGUGGCGGACGGGUGAGUAACGCGUGAGAAUCUGCCCUUAGGUUGGGGACAACAGUUGGAAACGACUGCUAAUACCCAAUGUGCCGAGAGGUGAAAGGUUAACUGCCUGGGGAUGAGCUCGCGUCUGAUUAGCUAGUUGGAGUGGUAACGGCACACCAAGGCGACGAUCAGUAGCUGGUCUGAGAGGAUGAUCAGCCACACUGGGACUGAGACACGGCCCAGACCCCUACGGGAGGCAGCAGUGGGGAGUUUUCCGCAAUGGGCGAAAGCCUGACGGAGCAAGACCGCGUGAGGGAGGAAGGCCUAUUGGUUGUAAACCUCUUUUGAUAGGGAAGAACACAAUGAUGGUACCUAUCGAAUCAGCAUCGGCUAACUCCGUGCCAGCAGCCGCGGUAAUACGGAGGAUGCAAGCGUUAUCCGGAUUUAUUGGGCGUAAAGCGUCCGUAGGUGGCAAACCAAGUCAGUUGCUAAAGCGUAGAGCUUAACUCUAUAAGGGCAAUUGAAACUGGUUAGCUAGAGUGCGAUAGGGGCAAGGGGAAUUCCCAGUGUAGCGGUGAAAUGCGUAGAUAUUGGGAAGAACAUCGGUGGCGAAGGCGCCUUGCUGGGUCUGCACUGACACUGAGGGACGAAAGCUAGGGGAGCGAAAGGGAUUAGAUACCCCUGUAGUCCUA
RNAcentral lists this ribosomal RNA (749 nucleotides) under cyanobacterium enrichment culture clone 3_10_3.5.6_H12-T7. RNAcentral describes it as "bacterial SSU rRNA". It matches the Rfam family "Bacterial small subunit ribosomal RNA", at positions 8 to 798 of the family's 1533-position model. The record is from RNAcentral. Lineage: Bacteria; Bacillati; Cyanobacteriota.